Molecule: ribosomal RNA, 253 nt
Filed under: uncultured bacterium
Lineage: Bacteria
Description: partial 16S ribosomal RNA
Rfam family: Bacterial small subunit ribosomal RNA
Source: RNAcentral
UACGAAGGGGGCUAGCGUUGCUCGGAAUCACUGGGCGUAAAGCGCACGUAGGCGGAUUGUUAAGUCAGGGGUGAAAUCCUGGAGCUCAACUCCAGAACUGCCUUUGAUACUGAGGAUCUUGAGUUCGGGAGAGGUGAGUGGAACUCCGAGUGUAGAGGUGAAAUUCGUAGAUAUUCGGAAGAACACCAGUGGCGAAGGCGACUCACUGGCCCGAUACUGACGCUGAGGCGCGAAAGCGUGGGGAGCAAACAGG